Long non-coding RNA from Neopsephotus bourkii (Bourke's parrot), 940 nucleotides. RefSeq lists it as uncharacterized. NCBI's taxonomy places the organism in Eukaryota, Metazoa, Chordata, Aves, Psittaciformes, Psittacidae. The record is from RefSeq and is a predicted model, not a curated record. The transcript is spliced from 5 exons.
CAGCCUGCUCAGAAGGAAAACACAGGCUGGAUAUGGAAACACUGGAAUGCUGCAGAUGCAGACCGAAGGAAAAUGCUUAUUAAAAAGCAGGGGAGAGCUUCCAAUAUGGAGAGCACUGGAACCUGUUGCUGAUGUAUGAAGAUCCCCCUUCUCCUGCCUCCAACUUUGACACUUUUUUCUGAGCCUUUUGUUGAUACCUGGAAGGGAAAGAAGAGAAAGGGAGGGAUCCCUGGGACUCAAGCAACCCUUGCUGGCUAAUUGGAUAGCUGGUUCAGUGCCCUGCAGGAGCCUUGCAGUGUUGUGUGCCAUCCUCCUGCUGCCCAGGGAGCGUGGUGCAUCAUCUGCCUCCCCGGGCUGGGUCUGGCCAGGCAGGAGCCUUCCCUCUGAGGCUGUGCUCUGCAGGAGAGCUGGGAGAUGAUGCUGGCUGAAGGCCAGGCAGCAGAGAUAAAAAACCCAACAAAACCCAAGCAAAACCCGAGCAAAACAGCUCUAAAGAGAAGAAACACGCAAUGCUUGUUAUUAGGAGGACAAAACUCCCACUCCUCAGUACAGACCAAGCCUUGGCUGUAAUAUCUGCUAUCAUCUGUCAGUCUUUGCAUAAUCAGAUGGUCCUUCUGCUCCCUAGUGCCCAUGUCGGCUGCUCUGACACGUGUGGUUGGAGGACUGGCAAUGACCAGAGGGCUCCACUAACACCUUGCUUCCUUCUCUCAUCUCCAGCCAUGAAGAUGAGAGAUUAAUUCUCAGCUGUGAUAGUCAUUGUCUUCUUGUGCAGGUUCAUCAGGUGCAACACAGACUCAGGCUUGUCUGAACCUUGAUGAUAAGCUCUCCUUGUUAAAAGCCAUUGUAUUUGCUACUAGCUGAGUGUAAUUCUGACUGCCUACUGCAGUUCUCCUUUGCAUGUAAUUGAAUUCAUAUUCAUCAUAAAGCAAUGAAAAAUAAA